This is an RNA transcript of Medicago truncatula (barrel medic), 1185 nucleotides long. It is a transcript of the gene named probable serine/threonine-protein kinase PBL7, with no coding region annotated. Lineage: Eukaryota; Viridiplantae; Streptophyta; Magnoliopsida; Fabales; Fabaceae. The transcript is spliced from 4 exons. The record is from RefSeq and is a predicted model, not a curated record.
AUCUUAGCCCCAUAAAAGAGCGAUUGCUAUCACCAUUUUGACGAAAGUGGAGAAGAACGGCGCCGCAGAAGGAUUGGACUAUUUUGCUUCAAGACUGACAUUUACAUAGAGUUGUAAAAGAGGGUACGACAAUUCUGCACAACUUCAAUAAACUCAAAUCAACGUGAUAUAUGCAACUAAUCUCAAGUGGUUUGUGUUUUUAUGUCGAUGAUUUCAUCUAAUUUUUAUUGGAUUAUUUUCAUUUUCCCCCAGUAUAUCUAUGAGCAUCAAAACAAAAAUGUAUUCAUGGACUAUCAUCAGAGGCAUAAUUGAAAGGAGGUCGUCAAUGUUAUCUUAUAUUUCUACUCAUUUUAGGAUGGGUUUAGAUCUAUUGUUCUUUUGUAUAAGCUUAAUGUAAUCUUCAACGAGUGUGAUUUCUUUGAUUAAAUAUCGGUAGAUCUGUAGCAUCAAAGGCGACUAAUCGUUUUAAAAGUUUUGUUAGAUCUUCCUCCUGGGAAAAAACCACUGGAUUGGAAUACAAGAAUGAGAAUAGAUGCUGGUGUAGCUAAAGGUUUGGAGUAUUUGCAUUAUAAAAUGAAGCCUCCUGUCAUAUAUCGUGACCUCAAAUGCUCCAACAUUUUGUUAAGCUACGAUUAUCAUCCCAAGUUAUCUGAUUUUGGCUUGGCAAAAGUAAGUCCGAUCGGUGAUAAGAAUCAUGUUACAACAAGAGUUAUGGGAACAUAUGGCUAUUGUGCUCUAGAGUACGGAAUGACAGGUCAAUUAACAAUCAAGUCUAACAUUUUUAGCUUUGAAGUUGCUCUUUUGGAGCUCAUCACUAGCAGAAAGGCAUUCGACAAUAGUAAACCUUUAACAGGAGGCUAAAAUUGCGAAAAGGCUGAAUAUAUAGUUGAACUGUGUAAACAAUGGCUCGUUGCAAGAAAAAUGUAUAUCUCAUUUGCAAACAAAGAAAAUCAUUUCAGACAGAUGAAGAGCAAUGGUGUAUCACUCAUGAGUGUGAUUUCUUUGAUUAAAUAUAGAUAAAUAUGUGCAGAAAAUAUUAUAAUAUUUUGUAUUACUUUUAAAAUAAGGUAACAAUUAGGAAUUGGAUUGAUGUACUCAUUCUUGUUGUUAUGUACUACUAUAGUUGGCUUUGAAUUGAAUGAUUAUAUUUAGAUAAGUUCUAUGUGUUGUUUUUGGAUUUCUAAA